GGGAAAAAAUAAAUAUCUCAGAAUCUCCUAUACCUCAGAUUCCUUGAAAACUCAUGGUACGAAAUGAUCGACUGUCUGGUUGGUUCAGCACAGGGAAUAAAAACAGCUGAAAGAGGCAACAUGCACCAGACAGACACGAAUAGUAUUUUCAGCUCCCAGCUGCAAUUCUACAGCAAUAGAAACUUACAUAGGACACCCGUACUCGCCGGCGAUGCACCAGCCCGCAGCACUGCAUGAAGAGGGGGCAGAACGCAGUCAGCGUGUGGCUUCACCAAGCUGCACUGUGCCUUGUCUUCUCGUCACAGCCUCGGUCCAUUUCUUCCCACCUUCUACUCCCAGUAAUAGAGACAGACAUCGGCUGCUGGGCUAAGAUGAAUGUCCCAGCUUCUCCUGCAACUUGGAUGGCCACGGGACUAGAUUCUGGUCAAUGGGCAGAUGUAGAAAUGGUAUGUGCCAAUACCCAAGUCAUGUGUCACUGCUGAGAGCUGGGACAGCCAUUUAUAAUGAGAAGAAAGCUGCACAUUCAGGAGAAGAGAGCGACAAGACAGACCCAAGUCCCUAGGACAGGGGAGCUGCCAUAUUGGCCCAAUAGUGUUUACGUUUGGACUACACCAAGAAAGAGACAUUAACUCCUAUAUUGGCACUUUUGCUCUGAUUCCAAUUAUAGAUGCUAAACUUGUACUAUUAUUACUAUUGUUAUUAUUAUUAAUUUUUGAGACAGGGUCUGUGUCUGUUACCCAGGCUGGAGUGCAGUGGUGCAGUCUCAGCUCACUAUAGCCUCAACCUCCUAGGCUCACAGUGAUCCUCCCACCUCAGCCUCCCAAGUAGUAGUUGGGACUACAGGUAUGUGCCAACAUGCGCAGCUAAUUUUUGUAUUUUUUUGUAGAGAUGGGGUUUUGCCAUGUUUCCCAGGCUGGUCUUGAACUCCUGAGCUCGUGCAAUCUACCCACCUUGGCCUCUCAAAGUGCUGGGAUUAGAGGCCUGAGCCACCAUGCCCGGCCUAAACAUGGAUUUUAAAAGCACCUCAAAGUGUUUCUGGAAUGAAUGAUGAAUUCACAGAUCCAAGCCUGUGGAGGAGGCGGGGGAGUGGAAGAGGGAAAAAAGAAAAGGCAAGAAUGGAGACGAGAAUCAGGAACUCAGGCUGGGACUACCUGGGUCCCAGCAAAAGAGUUUAGACACAGCAAAGAGUUUAGAAUUGAACUGGCAGUACAUGCAGAAUUACUGAAACUUUUAAAUGUGAAAAUAUCUGUUGUUUUAUUAAGAAGUAGAAAAAAAAUUCCAGACUGUUGAGUCUAAAAAUAACCUGGUCAAUAGUUCAACUUCAGCAAGAAAUUGAAAGCUUUUGAGCUUGUAUACUUGUCUGUGAUAACUGUUCAUUUACUAAAUAAUCAAAUAAAGUCAACAAAAACUA
This is a non-coding RNA of Homo sapiens (human), 1411 nucleotides long. The record is from RefSeq and is a predicted model, not a curated record. NCBI's taxonomy places the organism in Eukaryota, Metazoa, Chordata, Mammalia, Primates, Hominidae.